RNAcentral lists this ribosomal RNA (274 nucleotides) under uncultured bacterium. Its description in RNAcentral is "partial 16S ribosomal RNA". It matches the Rfam family "Bacterial small subunit ribosomal RNA", at positions 523 to 796 of the family's 1533-position model. The record is from RNAcentral.
AUACGGAGGGGGCUAGCGUUGUUCGGAAUUACUGGGCGUAAAGCGUACGUAGGCGGACUGAUCAGUUGGGGGUGAAAUCCCAGGGCUUAACCCUGGAACUGCCUUCAAUACUGUCAGUCUUGAGUUUGGGAGAGGUGAGUGGAAUUCCUAGUGUAGAGGUGAAAUUCAUAGAUAUUAGGAGGAACACCAGUGGCGAAGGCGACUCACUGGCCCAUUACUGACGCUGAGGUACGAAAGCGUGGGGAGCAAACAGGAUUAGAAACCCCAGUAGUCC